RNAcentral lists this long non-coding RNA (234 nucleotides) under Lathyrus oleraceus (garden pea). RNAcentral's name for it is "Pisum sativum (pea) long non-coding RNA (PSAT_LNC021550)". Lineage: Eukaryota; Viridiplantae; Streptophyta; Magnoliopsida; Fabales; Fabaceae. The record is from RNAcentral.
UUGCCUAAGCGCGAGGACUGAUAAGGAAAAUAAAAAGAAAGGGGUUUCCUAAGCAAUAGGAAUGAUAAGGCAAAUAAGAGAUAAAUGUUUGUCUAAGCAUAAGCUCUAACAAGACAAACAAGGUAGAUAGAGGUUUGUCUAAGCACAAGGUGUGACAAGACAGACAAAUGCAUGAAGGAAGAGUUUGACUAAGCACAAGGUCUUUCAAGGAAAAAGAGAGAAAAUGGGUUGUCU